This 492-nucleotide ribosomal RNA is filed under the name uncultured bacterium. RNAcentral describes it as "partial 16S ribosomal RNA". It matches the Rfam family "Bacterial small subunit ribosomal RNA", at positions 28 to 507 of the family's 1533-position model. The record is from RNAcentral.
GAUGAACGCUAGCUAUAGGCUUAACACAUGCAAGUCGAGGGGAAACGGCAUUAUGUGCUUGCACAUUUUGGACGUCGACCGGCGCACGGGUGAGUAUCGCGUAUCCAACCUGCCCUUUACUUGGGGAUACCCCGUUGAAAGACGGCCUAAUACCCGAUGUAAUUCAUUGAUGGCAUCAGAUAUGAAUAAAAGAUUUAUCGGUAAAGGUUGGGGAUGCGUCUGAUUAGCUUGUUGGUGAGGUAACGGCUCACCAAGGCGACGAUCAGUAGGGGUUCUGAGAGGAAGGUCCCCCACAUUGGAACUGAGACACGGUCCAAACUCCUACGGGAGGCAGCAGUGAGGAAUAUUGGUCAAUGGGCGCAAGCCUGAACCAGCCAAGUAGCGUGCAGGAAGACGGCCCUAUGGGUUGUAAACUGCUUUUAUACGAGAAUAAUUUGAUGCACGUGUGCGUUAUUGCAUGUAUCGUAUGAAUAAGGACCGGCUAAUUCCGUG